Molecule: non-coding RNA, 641 nt
Organism: Equus caballus (horse)
Lineage: Eukaryota; Metazoa; Chordata; Mammalia; Perissodactyla; Equidae
Source: RefSeq, a predicted model, not a curated record
CUGAUGGACGGAUGGCAGGAUAGAUGGAGGGAUGGAUGGAUGGGCAAAUGGAUGAAUGACUGGAUGUGUCAGCAUAUGACAAGCAGGUCCAAAUCCCACUGUAACAUGGGAGGUCUAUGCCCUGGGACCCUGAGGACAGCAGGACUGCCUGUGCUGGUGGCCUUCACCUGGGCCUCCCUUAUACUCCUUGUAGCUUAUCAGCUACAUUCCCUGGGAGAGAAGAGAGGACCCUGGUCAUGCCCAUCCAGCAUUUGGCACACUGAAUCACAGACCCAGAUCUAUGGCCCGACUCAGAGCACCAUGGGUUACCGGGAGCCACCUCCCUGGGUGGUGCUGGACCCGCCACAGGAGGACCUGGAGGAGGACACCCCAGGAGCCAGCCUGUGGCCCACCACAGUCACCCUGCUCACUCUCUUCCUGCUGAGCCUCUUCUACAGCACGGCGCUGACCGUGACCAGCAUCCGGGCCCCACCUGGUGGCAAAGAGGGCCCCCAGUACUGAGAAGGAGCCAGCCAAGCAAAGGGAGGAGCCUGGAGGAGCCCCCUGGAAGCCAAGCUGGAUGCCAGAGCUCAGCCCUGCUUGGAAGCCACCCGACUCUCCCACACAGGCCUUCCUGGUGCAAUAAACUGAUCCCCAAGGAA